AGCAGCCGCGGUAAUUCCAGCUCCAAUAGCGUAUAUUAAAGUUGUUGCAGUUAAAAAGCUCGUAGUUGAAUUUCGGGAUUCAUCCGUUGGUCGGGCUUCACGGUCCGUACUGGUGUGAUGGGUUCCUACCUUCUGAAUAACCGGCAUGCCAUUAAAUUUGGUGCGCCGGGGAAGCAGAACUAUUACCUUGAAAAAUUAGAGUGCUUAAAGCAGGCAAGUGCCUGAAUAGGUUAGCAUGGAAUAAUAAAAUAGGACGGCAUGGUUCUAUUUUGUUGGUUUCUAGGAUCACCGUAAUGAUUAAUAGGGAUAGUUGGGGGCAUUAGUAUUCAAUUGUCAGAGGUGAAAUUCUUGGAUUUAUUGAAGACUAACUUCUGCGAAAGCAUUUGCCAAGGAUGUUUUCAUUAAUCAAGAACGAAAGUUAGGGGAUCGAAGACGAUCAGAUACCGUCGUAGUCUUAACCAUAAACUAUGCCGACUAGGGGUCGACGAUGUUAAUUUUUAAUGACUCGUUCGGCGCCUUA
Molecule: ribosomal RNA, 520 nt
Filed under: uncultured Acaulospora
Lineage: Eukaryota; Fungi; Glomeromycota; Glomeromycetes; Diversisporales; Acaulosporaceae
Description: SSU rRNA
Rfam family: Eukaryotic small subunit ribosomal RNA
Source: RNAcentral